RNAcentral lists this transfer RNA (73 nucleotides) under Camelus bactrianus (Bactrian camel). It matches the Rfam family "tRNA". Rfam says of the family: Transfer RNA (tRNA) molecules are approximately 80 nucleotides in length. Their secondary structure includes four short double-helical elements and three loops (D, anti-codon, and T loops). Lineage: Eukaryota; Metazoa; Chordata; Mammalia; Artiodactyla; Camelidae. The record is from Rfam by way of RNAcentral. RNAcentral also lists the same sequence under 2 other names.
GAGGGUGUAGCUCAGUGGUUAGAGUGUGUGCUUAGCAUACACAAGGUUCUGGGUUCAAUAUCCAGUACCACCA